UAGCUAGUUGGUGAGGUAAAGGCUUACCAAGGCGACGAUCUGUAGCGGGUCUGAGAGGAUGAUCCGCCACACUGGAACUGAGGCACGGUCCAGACUCCUACGGGAGGCAGCAGUGGGGAAUUUUGGACAAUGGGGGCAACCCUGAUCCAGCCAUGCCGCGUGAGUGAAGAAGGCCUUCGGGUUGUAAAGCUCUUUCGGCCGGGAAGAAAUCGCAUGGGCCAAUACCCUGUGUGGAUGACGGUACCGGAAUAAGAAGCACCGGCUAACUACGUGCCAGCAGCCGCGGUAAUACGUAGGGUGCGAGCGUUAAUCGGAAUUACUGGGCGUAAAGCGUGCGCAGGCGGUUUUGUAAGACAGGCGUGAAAUCCCCGGGCUUAACCUGGGAACUGCGUUUGUGACUGCAAGGCUAGAGUACGGCAGAGGGGGGUGGAAUUCCACGUGUAGCAGUGAAAUGCGUAGAGAUGUGGAGGAACACCAAUGGCGAAGGCAGCCCCCUGGGUCGAUACUGACGCUCAUGCACGAAAGCGUGGGUAGCAAACAGGAUUAGAUACCCUGGUAGUCCACGCCCUAAACUAUGUCAACUAGGUGUUGGGUGGGUAAAACCAUUUAGUACCGUAGCUAACGCGUGAAGUUGACCGCCUGGGGAGUACGGCCGCAAGGUUAAAACUCAAAGGAAUUGACGGGGACCCGCACAAGCGGUGGAUGAUGUGGAUUAAUUCGAUGCAACGCGAAAAACCUUACCUACCCUUGACAUGCCAGGAACUUGCCAGAGAUGGCUUGGUGCCCGAAAGGGAGCCUGGACACAGGUGCUGCAUGGCUGUCGUCAGCUCGUGUCGUGAGAUGUUGGGUUAAGUCCCGCAACGAGCGCAACCCUUGUCGUUAAUUGCCAUCAUUUAGUUGGGCACUUUAACGAGACUGCCGGUGACAAACCGGAGGAAGGUGGGGAUGACGUCAAGUCCUCAUGGCCCUUAUGGGUAGGGCUUCACACGUCAUACAAUGGUUGGUACAAAGGGUUGCCAAGCCGCGAGGCGGAGCCAAUCCCAGAAAGCCGAUCGUAGUCCGGAUUGCAGGCUGCAACUCGCCUGCAUGAAGUCGGAAUCGCUAGUAAUCGUGGAUCAGCAUGUCACGGUGAAUACGUUCCCGGGUCUUGUACACACCGCCCGUCACACCACGGGAGCGGGUUCCGCCAGAAGUAGGUAGCCUAACCGCAAGGGGGGCGCUUACCACGGCGGGGUUCGUGACUGGGGUGAAGUCGUAACAAGGUAGCCGUAGGGGAACCUGCGGCUG
This 1287-nucleotide ribosomal RNA is filed under the name metagenome. Its description in RNAcentral is "bacterial SSU rRNA". It matches the Rfam family "Bacterial small subunit ribosomal RNA", at positions 242 to 1520 of the family's 1533-position model. The record is from RNAcentral.